This 923-nucleotide ribosomal RNA is filed under the name Gloeophyllum odoratum. RNAcentral's name for it is "partial large subunit ribosomal RNA". It matches the Rfam family "Eukaryotic large subunit ribosomal RNA", at positions 37 to 957 of the family's 3401-position model. Lineage: Eukaryota; Fungi; Basidiomycota; Agaricomycetes; Gloeophyllales; Gloeophyllaceae. The record is from RNAcentral.
AGCAUAUCAAUAAGCGGAGGAAAAGAAACUAACAAGGAUUCCCCUAGUAACUGCGAGUGAAGCGGGAAGAGCUCAAAUUUAAAAUCUGGCGGUCAUUGGGCCGUCCGAGUUGUAUUCUGGAGAAGCGCUUUCCGCGCCGGACCGUGUAUAAGUCUCUUGGAAUGGAGCGUCACAGAGGGUGAGAAUCCCGUCUUUGACACGGACUGCCGGUGCUUUUGUGAUGCGCUCUCGAAGAGUCGAGUUGUUUGGGAAUGCAGCUCAAAAUGGGUGGUGAAUUCCAUCUAAAGCUAAAUAUUGGCGAGAGACCGAUAGCGAACAAGUACCGUGAGGGAAAGAUGAAAAGCACUUUGAAAAGAGAGUCAAACAGUACGUGAAAUUGUUGAAAGGGAAACGCUUGAAGUCAGUCGCGUGGGCCGGAACUCAACCUCACUUCUGUGGGGUGCACUUUCCGAGUCAACGGGCCAACGUCGAUUUUGGCUGCCGGACAAGGAUUGGGGGAAUGUGGCACUCGCUUGCGGGUGUGUUAUAACCUCCGGUCGGAUACGGCGGAUCGGGAUCGAGGACCGCGGUGGCUCUUCGGGGCUGCUUAGGAUGUUGGCGUAAUGGCUUUAAACGACCCGUCUUGAAACACGGACCAAGGAGUCUAACGUGCAUGCGAGUGUUUGGGUGGAAAACCCGGGCGCGUAAUGAAAGUGAAAGUUGAGACCUCUGUCGCGGAGGGCAUCGACGCCCGGACCUGAUCUUCGGUGACGGAUCUGCGGUAGAGCAUGUGCGUUGGGACCCGAAAGAUGGUGAACUAUGCCUGAAUAGGGUGAAGCCAGAGGAAACUCUGGUGGAGGCUCGUAGCGAUUCUGACGUGCAAAUCGAUCGUCAAAUUUGGGUAUAGGGGCGAAAGACUAAUCGAACCAUCUAGUAGCUGGUUC